AGAGUUUGAUCAUGGCUCAGGACGAACGCUGGCGGCGUGCCUAACACAUGCAAGUCGAACGGAGUUAAGCCCUUCGGGACUUAGCUUAGUGGCGAACGGGUGAGUAACGCGUGAGCAACCUACCUUUCAGUGGGGGACAACAGUUGGAAACGACUGCUAAUACCGCAUGAAACUUAUCGGGGGCAUCCCUGAAAAGUCAAAGCUUUAUGUGCUGAAAGAUGGGCUCGCGUCUGAUUAGCUAGAUGGCGGGGUAACGGCCCACCAUGGCGACGAUCAGUAGCCGGUCUGAGAGGAUGAACGGCCACAUUGGGACUGAGAUACGGCCCAGACUCCUACGGGAGGCAGCAGUGGGGAAUAUUGGGCAAUGGGGGAAACCCUGACCCAGCAACGCCGCGUGAAGGAAGAAGGCCUUCGGGUUGUAAACUUCUUUUACCAGGGACGAAGGACGUGACGGUACCUGGAGAAAAAGCAACGGCUAACUACGUGCCAGCAGCCGCGGUAAUACGUAGGUUGCAAGCGUUGUCCGGAUUUACUGGGUGUAAAGGGCGUGUAGGCGGAGGAGCAAGUCAGAUGUGAAAUCCCGGGGCUCAACCCCGGAACUGCAUUUGAAACUGUUUCCCUUGAGUAUCGGAGAGGCAAGCGGAAUUCCUAGUGUAGCGGUGAAAUGCGUAGAUAUUAGGAGGAACACCAGUGGCGAAGGCGGCUUGCUGGACGACAACUGACGCUGAGGCGCGAAAGCGUGGGGAGCAAACAGGAUUAGAUACCCUGGUAGUCCACGCUGUAAACGAUGAAUACUAGGU
This 800-nucleotide ribosomal RNA is filed under the name uncultured bacterium. Its description in RNAcentral is "bacterial SSU rRNA". It matches the Rfam family "Bacterial small subunit ribosomal RNA", at positions 8 to 821 of the family's 1533-position model. The record is from RNAcentral.